AUUUUCCCUAGCAUCCUACAGUCAAGAGAGAACCAAGGCAUUAUAUAUAAAUAUAAGUAGAACACAGAGGAAUCAUAGUUAAUACAUUAGAUGGUUCAGUGGUAACAGAGAAACAGCCAAUAAGCCGCACAUCCACAGUUUGAGUGGUAACAGAGAAACAGCCAAUAAGCCGCACAUCCACAGAUUGAAAUUAUGCUAGUUCGUACCACCUCAACAACCUUAAGAAAUAAGACCUUCCUUGCAUAAAAAACCAUUUUAGUCCUUUUUCCCCCCUUAACAACAAUUAAAGAGAUCCUCUAAAUUUCCAGCAGCAAAACAAAUGAUUAGACUACUAUUAAGCACCGUUCAAAUCAAACAAACAAAAAAGGAAAAUAAAAGCCAGUUAUGAUACCAAAACCUCAAUAUCAGCAUCAAGCGAGCAACUUUAUUGAGAAAGACUGAGAGAAAA
This 448-nucleotide long non-coding RNA is filed under the name Populus trichocarpa (black cottonwood). Its description in RNAcentral is "long non-coding RNA (PTRI_LNC000099)". Lineage: Eukaryota; Viridiplantae; Streptophyta; Magnoliopsida; Malpighiales; Salicaceae. The record is from RNAcentral.